RNAcentral lists this ribosomal RNA (449 nucleotides) under uncultured bacterium. RNAcentral describes it as "partial 16S ribosomal RNA". It matches the Rfam family "Bacterial small subunit ribosomal RNA", at positions 29 to 523 of the family's 1533-position model. The record is from RNAcentral.
AACGAACGCUGGCGGCAUGCCUAACACAUGCAAGUCGAACGAAGCCUUCGGGCUUAGUGGCGCACGGGUGCGUAACGCGUGGGAAUCUGCCCUUGGGUUCGGAAUAACAGUUAGAAAUGACUGCUAAUACCGGAUGAUGUCUUCGGACCAAAGAUUUAUCGCCCAAGGAUGAGCCCGCGUAGGAUGAGGUAGUUGGUGGGGUAAUGGCCAACCAAGCCGACGAUCCUUAGCUGGUCUGAGAGGAUGAUCAGCCACACUGGGACUGAGACACGGCCAAGACUCCUACGGGAGGCAGCAGUGGGGAAUAUUGGACAAUGGGCGAAAGCCUGAUCCAGCAAUGCCGCGUGAGUGAUGAAGGCCUUAGGGUUGUAAAGCUCUUUUACCAGGGAUGAUAAUGACAGUACCUGGAGAAUAAGCUCCGGCUAACUCCGUGCCAGCAGCCGCCGUAA